CCCCCGGGGCAAGGAGGGGAGGCCAGGCAGCCGGAAGGAAACUCCUGAGCUUUUUACGGAAUGCACAAGACAAAAGCCAUGUUUUGUUCAGUCCUUCAGAAGAUAGAAAUUGAACACCUGACUUGUGGACAGCACCUCUAAACACUGCAGAGAGAGAUUCAGAGAUGAAUAGCCCUGGCCCUUAGGGUUCUUGCGGUCACAAGCACCGUCCAGUAAGAGCAGCCCAUGGUUAUGAGUAACAAGAGCAGACACUACGGCAGGCACUUGGUUUAGGGACAUUGCCUUGUUUCAUCCUCACGGUGACUUCAGGAGGACAGUGCCAUCGUUACGCCGUUUAACAGAUGGUAAAACUGAGGCCCAGAGAGGGGAGUGCCUUGCUUCAGAUGACUCAGCAACGCAGUGGCUGAGCAAGGAUUUGAACUCAGGCAGAAUGGUGGCAGAGCCUGUUUGCCUAACUUCUAAAUUUCCCUAACUCUCUAGAACAGAGGGUAGUAGGAGUGCAGCAGACAGGACAACUAACCCUGCCUGGAAAAGUCAUGGUGGGCUUCCCGGAGGAGGCGUCCUUAGGCUGGGGCUUGAAGACGAGGUAUUUACCAGACAAAUAGUGGAGAAGAAGGCUGUCUUAAACAGAAAAAACUUCUUAUGUGGUCCUGGGUUCUGAGGGCCCAGCUCUUCUCACCCUCCUUCUCCGAGGAGUGGGGGAACGGAAGUGCAGAGCCUUCGUGUUUUACCCUCCUUCUCCGAGGAGUGGGGAACGGAAGUGCAGAGCCUUUAUGUUUUGUGACAGUGGAAUCCCUGACCUGUGGUCCACAACCUCCCUGCCAGGUGGAGGUGAUAGACCCAUUUUAUAGAUGAAGAAAAUCUGGUAGAGCUGAGUGCUGCUUGCUCUGCAGCUGGUCCAAGAAGCUUCACCUCCCAGGAGCACCAGACAGAUGAUCUCCUGUUUACAGUGGUUCCAGGAGCACCAACCCCAAGGAUGAGUUAUAAGCAGGUCUCUAAAGAGAUUUUAGGAGAAGCUGCUAAAAUGGUGGCAAAGCUCUUUAGAAACAUAGAAGUAUGAACCUUUUUAUGGGGAGAACUUAUAAGAGUUUGGAGAGGUCUUCCAGGUCCACACAACCUCCCUGGAAAUGGCAAGGAGUUAUAAUUUCCAUUUUACAGAUGAAAAAUGAAAAAGAGGAGAAGGGGAUGCCAUUUGCUCAAGGCUGCUGGAACGCUAGGCUGGCUCUGGGACUAUCACGAAAAGUUUCUAACCCCCCGCCACGGCUCUUCUCACAACACAAGAAUGAGCUCAGAGAGGUUAAUGAACCUGCCAAAGACCCCAGCUGAGAGACUGAGUUGGUUUGCAGAUUCCAAAGCCCACAUUCAUUCCAUUUUAUCUCAUCUUUAGUGGACUUUGAACAUGCCUCAGCCUUCACCUUGACCCUUGGUGAAGGUGCUGAGAACCAAGACCCAGUGCAGCGGUGUCUCUGGAACCUCCUGGAGCUCAGCAGCCGACUCCCAAACCUGGAGGUCCUCACUCUGCACCCUGUGCUCUGCCCUCUGGCUGAUCCUCAGCAUUCCCAGGCAGCCUGGCUCCCUGUAAAGUUGUUUAAACUUCUGUUUAUCAUCAUCUUCCAUCAUUUCUAAUUGUUUUCCUGUGUCCCUUUCUUUUGUAGAGGAUAUAAACUCAGCAUUUUAGCUUUUGAAAUAGAUUUGCUGUGCAGUUUCAUGGCUCUUUAGUGGCUUAAAAUGUAUUGUUCUGUGAGUCUUUCUGUGCCCGUCACAGCAUUCACUGUGGGAAGCAGCAGGACGCCAGCGAUGCUGAUGUUUAUUUGAUUUUAGGGGACUUUAAGGCAUUCCUGGGACCAUACGGAUUCUAAAUAUUCUGCCUCAUUGUCUUCAGAAGCUACUAAAAUAUCCUAGAAAUGAUCAUGUUUCAGCAUGUAAGCUACAUAUUUCACGUUACCUCUUGUAUCCAUCCAUACAUAGCCUCUAUCAAGAGCCUGGCAUAAGCCAAUGUAAUGGUUCUGAAAUGGUAACCACAUGGUUCUUCAAUCACUAAAACCCUUUCCACUCUGAGAUUGGACAUUCAUUGCUAUUUUCUGCCAGGGCUUUGAUUUACAAGACUGUCUAUGAGUUCUGUGUUUAAUAUACAGAACUGGCUGCCCUCAAUGCAUGAGACUUCCUGGUAUUUUUUUCAUGUGAUUAGAUGGAUUACAUUUGUUUCAUAUUUAUUGUUUAGAUAUACAAGUAAUCCUCACUUUGCACAGUGUCAUGUCUGCAUAUUGAAACCCUAUACUCACUUUGUGCAAUCCUUUGGUAAGUGCAAAGUGAGAACACAGGUCUGAUAUGUACAAGUUUCAGUGAACAUGGUACUAUGCAUCAUGAAGACUAUCUGAAGUUGCUUUCAAAUAAAAUUUGGAUAAGGACUGUA
This 2413-nucleotide long non-coding RNA is filed under the name Homo sapiens (human). Its description in RNAcentral is "long non-coding RNA NONHSAT196797.1". The record is from RNAcentral. Lineage: Eukaryota; Metazoa; Chordata; Mammalia; Primates; Hominidae.